GACGAACGCUGGCGGCGUGCUUAACACAUGCAAGUCGAACGGAAAGGCCCUGCUUUUGUGGGGUGCUCGAGUGGCGAACGGGUGAGUAACACGUGAGUAACCUGCCCUUGACUUUGGGAUAACUUCAGGAAACUGGGGCUAAUACCGGAUAGGAGCUCCUGCUGCAUGGUGGGGGUUGGAAAGUUUCGGCGGUUGGGGAUGGACUCGCGGCUUAUCAGCUUGUUGGUGGGGUAGUGGCUUACCAAGGCGUUGACGGGUAGCCGGCCUGAGAGGGUGACCGGCCACAUUGGGACUGAGAUACGGCCCAGACUCCUACGGGAGGCAGCAGUGGGGAAUAUUGCACAAUGGGCGGAAGCCUGAUGCAGCAACGCCGCGUGCGGGAUGACGGCCUUCGGGUUGUAAACCGCUUUCGCCUGUGACGAAGCGUGAGUGACGGUAAUGGGUAAAGAAGCACCGGCUAACUACGUG
This 468-nucleotide ribosomal RNA is filed under the name uncultured bacterium. RNAcentral describes it as "partial 16S ribosomal RNA". It matches the Rfam family "Bacterial small subunit ribosomal RNA", at positions 28 to 507 of the family's 1533-position model. The record is from RNAcentral.